RNAcentral lists this ribosomal RNA (476 nucleotides) under uncultured organism. RNAcentral describes it as "partial 16S ribosomal RNA". It matches the Rfam family "Bacterial small subunit ribosomal RNA", at positions 331 to 798 of the family's 1533-position model. The record is from RNAcentral.
GUACACUCCUGCGGGAGGCAGCAGUGGGGAAUUUUGGACAAUGGGCGAAAGCCUGAUCCAGCAAUGCCGCGUGAGUGAAGAAGGCCUUCGGGUUGUAAAGCUCUUUUGUCAGGGAAGAAACGGUGAAAGCUAAUAUCUUUUGCUAAUGACGGUACCUGAAGAAUAAGCACCGGCUAACUACGUGCCAGCAGCCGCGGUAAUACGUAGGGUGCAAGCGUUAAUCGGAAUUACUGGGCGUAAAGCGUGCGCAGGCGGUUUUGUAAGUCUGAUGUGAAAUCCCCGGGCUCAACCUGGGAAUUGCAUUGGAGACUGCAAGGCUAGAAUCUGGCAGAGGGGGGUAGAAUUCCACGUGUAGCAGUGAAAUGCGUAGAUAUGUGGAGGAACACCGAUGGCGAAGGCAGCCCCCUGGGUCAAGAUUGACGCUCAUGCACGAAAGCGUGGGGAGCAAACAGGAUUAGAAACCCUAGUAGUCCCAU